Long non-coding RNA from Populus trichocarpa (black cottonwood), 1450 nucleotides. RefSeq lists it as uncharacterized. Lineage: Eukaryota; Viridiplantae; Streptophyta; Magnoliopsida; Malpighiales; Salicaceae. The record is from RefSeq and is a predicted model, not a curated record. The transcript is spliced from 2 exons.
GUAAAUUUCAGCUCUCCCUCACCCCAAGCACGCUGCAGACAUCCCGCCUCUCUCACCACCAACGGUGAUCUCUCCCUCCUAUAACAGUCACUGCACAGCCUCCUCCCUCUUCAUGCCGACAACAAGAAACCGACCACCCACCAACACAACCCCUCCGAAAAUAUCAUAGAUCAGAUUUCACAGCAGACUUGACAGCAAACCGAAGCCUCCCUCUCCAGCGCCGUCACUAACAGCCACUGGGGAACCAUAGUUUUCAUUUUGGUUUUUUUUUUUUUACUAUUCUCAUACCCUUUUUAAAAAUAAAAUUACUCUCAUACCCUCUCCAGCGCCGUCACUAACAGCCACUGGGGAACCAUAGUCCUCCCAACAAGUGUCUUCAUUUUGGUUUUGAUUGUUUAAAAUUAGUCUUCUUUUUUAUCGUGCUCGAUCCACUAAUUGUUUAUAUUAUUAUUAUUAUUAUUUAUUUGUAGCUUUUACUCCUUCCCCAGCCAAAUUGUCUCACUUUUUUCUCUACUUUGGAUUUUAUUAUUUAAAAAUAGAGUUUCCCUUUCCUUUAUAUCGUGCUGAUCCACUGAUUGAUUUUUGAUUUUCUGUUUUUCAAUUCCAUUCCUGACUCGGCACCUGUCAUGUGAAUCUUAGCAUCUCCUGCUACCCUGUCCUUGUCAUUGAUCCUGGUUCAGUGUUAUCCUCCAUUCCUUACUCAGCACCUGUCAUAUGAAUCCUAGCAUCUCCUCCUUGGAGCUGGAAAUUCUUGUGACAAAACACUGCAUAUCUGGUUGCUGUCUUCUUAGAAUUAUAAGGCACGUUUGCAAUGUGGCUGGCAACAUAAUUCAUAAUAUCUGCAGAGUUAUGUUCAAGGAUGAAAUAUUCACUAACAUCCAUAUAGGUUGCAAUUUGGUCAAUAAUUCUUUAAUUGACUUACAAACGAUAAGAAUUUUAUCCUUAAACAACCCAUUACCUUUAGGCGCUAUCACAAACCCGUCUCUUUUCUGCUUCUUGUGUCAUGAUCAAUGAGUUUGGGCAAGCCACAGCUCCUCUCUUCAACCCUUGCAGCUGGUACAUAGAUCUCUUGGGAAUGGGGAGACAUGGUUGGUUUCUCCCUGCUACUGGAGUACUGGCCACCAUUAUCCAAUUGAAACCCGAAAUUCUCACACCAUUAUAAACGAUGCUAUCAUAAUCAUGGCUGUUGUUGCUGUGCUCGUCCAUGUUGUAUGCAGUGCAUUUGAAGAUAUACUUGAAGCUGGCCACUUCAAAUCAAUUGCUGCCGGCACCAGUCAACUGGCCAGAGCUCUAGCCAUUACUCUACUACUCAUAAUCUGCGUCCCAAAAAUUUGGUGGUUUCUUCUUUUGGCAUGGGUGUUGUUCUUUAUAUGGGUAACAUAUACUUUACGUGAGGAAUUGUUAAAAUUUUUUGUUUAAUUUAGUUUGUUAAUGUUAAUUUUUUUAUUUA